Gracilinanus agilis (Agile Gracile Mouse Opossum) is the source of this 102-nucleotide small nuclear RNA. NCBI's taxonomy places the organism in Eukaryota, Metazoa, Chordata, Mammalia, Didelphimorphia, Didelphidae. The record is from RefSeq and is a predicted model, not a curated record.
GUCAUCAAUGUCAGCACACAUACAACAACUGGAAAAAUACAGAGAUUUGCAUGAUCCCUGGGCAAGGAUGGCAAGCAAAUUUGUGAAGCAUCCCAUAUAUGU